GACGAACGCUGGCGGCGUGCUUAACACAUGCAAGUCGAACGGAAGGACCCUGCGUUUGUGUGGUGCUCGAUUGGCGAACGGGUGAGUAACACGUGAGUAACCUGCCCUUGACUGUGGGAUAACUUCAGGGGACUGGGGCGAAUACCGGGGAGGAUCUCCUGCACCGUGUGGGGGAUUGGAGAGUGUCGGCGUUGGUGUCUGGACUAGAGGGUUAUCAGCUGGUUGGGGGGGUAGGUAUGUACCAAGCGUUUGACGGGUAGGCUGCCUGAGAGGGUGAACGGCCACAUUGGGCCUGCGAUACGGACCAGACUCCUACGGGCGGCAGCAGUGGGGAAUAUUGCACAACGGGCGGACGCGUGAUGUAGCAACGCCGGGUGCGGGAUGACGGCUUUCGGGUUGUAAACCGCUUUGGCAUGUGACGAAGCGUGCGUGACGGUAAUGGGUAAAGAAGCAACGGCUAACUACGUG
RNAcentral lists this ribosomal RNA (468 nucleotides) under uncultured bacterium. RNAcentral's name for it is "partial 16S ribosomal RNA". It matches the Rfam family "Bacterial small subunit ribosomal RNA", at positions 28 to 507 of the family's 1533-position model. The record is from RNAcentral.